This 394-nucleotide ribosomal RNA is filed under the name uncultured bacterium. RNAcentral describes it as "bacterial SSU rRNA". It matches the Rfam family "Bacterial small subunit ribosomal RNA", at positions 30 to 427 of the family's 1533-position model. The record is from RNAcentral.
AUUGAACGCUGGCGGCAUGCCUUACACAUGCAAGUCGAACGGCAGCGGACCUUCGGGUGCCGGCGAGUGGCGAACGGGUGAGUAAUAUAUCGGAACGUACCUUUCAGUGGGGGAGUAACGUAGCGAAAGUUACGCUAAUACCGCAUAUUCUGUGAGCAGGAAAGCAGGGGAUCGCAAGACCUUGCGCUGAUUGAGCGGCCGAUAUCAGAUUAGCUAGUUGGUGAGGUAAAGGCUCACCAAGGCGACGAUCUGUAGCGGGUCUGAGAGGAUGAUCCGCCACACUGGAACUGAGACACGGUCCAGACUCCUACGGGAGGCAGCAGUGGGGAAUUUUGGACAAUGGGCGCAAGCCUGAUCCAGCCAUGCCGCGUGAGUGAAGAAGGCCUCGGUUGGU